UUAGUUUACUCUACUUUUUGUUAUAUAGUGUAUCCAAAUGAUUUACUUUUUAAAGUUUUGCCUUAGAUCAUUGAGGAGAAGUAGCGCAUUUAGCAUCCUCAGUGUUGAAAUGCAAAGAUAUAGGUUUGAAAAACAGAUAAAAACAUACAACAACAAUAUACCCAGUGUAAUUCUACAGGUGGGGACUGGGGAGGGUAAACAGGCAAAAACAUAAAGAAAAUAAAGUUGGGUCACUAUCUGAUGGUGUCCGGUGUGUCUGAUGUAUGUCAUGUUAGAAUCUCACAUUGGUUAAUUGUAUGGGUUGUAAUGCCCUUGUAUUGUCUUAGACAAUGCUCACUACUUGAUCUACCUUUUGGGACUGAUUUAGGCUCAAAGUCCAUUUUUAUGGUACCAAAGACAGACCCGUCCUCGAAGUUUGGUCCAUGCGUUGCGAACUUAGUAUUAUGGUAAUAUUUGUUUUGCGGGGGACAAAGAAAAUAUAUCUAGUUCACAAUUGAAGAUGGAAUAUUCUCUAGCUUAAUAAAGAAAGUUCAAAAUUAGAACGAAGUUCGUUAGUGAUUGCCUUAUGAUUCAGAUUGCCAUGAUUUAGAAAAUGUGGGAAUGCUAAUAUGUGUGUGUAUCCUUUCAUUAAUUAACAUUUAGUCUUACUAUUAGAGAGGAUAAUCAAAUAUGGGGGACUUGUGCAUACCGAGGCUAACUAUUUUUAAUGGAAAGAAAAUAUAAUCACAAGACUCCCAAGACUCCCUAAAUGAAUAAGCAAGUUGGCUCAGAGUUUGGUGCAAUGACCUUGUCUUUUAGAAGUGUAUACAGUAUUUAAGUUUUACUCAAUUUGAGUAAGUCCAUAAGAUAUCGUUCAAAGGAUCAUUUUCAAAAUGUUUGUAUGUGAAGUCUUAUUAGUAUUCAUUUGACUGAAAGAGGUGAAUCAAGGUCCAUUUGGAUGUUACUAUAGAAAUAGAUCACACAAGAUUUUCUUUAAUGAUGCAUAAUGUGGGGAGCAAAUCUUAGCAACUCACCAUUUAAAAGAAGUAAAUGCAUUGUAGUUAAUGAGUAUUACAUGUUCCAAAGUGACGGAGAGGAUGUGGAUCAUCUUCCCCUGCAUAGCAUUUUUCUUCAGAAUUAUGGGUCGUGAUGUUCUCCAAUUAAUAUAUGGUAUAUGUAAAGAAAUAAAUGAGACAGUGUUUAGAAAUUUUCUGAUGAUUUCUCUGUAUUCACUGUUUGUGUAUAAAAUACAAGUAUAAUGCAGAAAGAAAAGUGUCAAAGAAAAUAAUUAUGUACGCCUGUCUAUUUCCUUCUUGUACCGCUUUGUAACAAUAUAACAAACUUAGGAUUCUAAUUUUGGCAUCUAUGGUAGAAACUGCUCGUAUAUACAGCUGUACUUGUUUACUUUGAACGAUCAGGAUUGAAUCCAUCAAUCUCCUUCCGUGUGCUCCUGAUUUCUCCACGUGGCUUGGUCUUCGUAGUCAUUUUAUCACAUUUGGAUUGAGACAAAAUCCUAGGUUUCUCCGACCAAGCCUCCUUCAUAUCUUCAGCUCUGAGUUUUUCCUCUUGUUCUCUCCAUUGUUGCUCUGUAAAACUUCAUAAAAUGAGAGAUUUGAGUGAGGAUUCCCAAUAAUAUGCAACCGGAAGUUUUAAAGGAUCCUUCUUACUUCCAUAAAUGGAGAAUGAGGAUUAAAAAGCAAUAAGCAUUUUACCAUGUUUGGUGUCCUGCAUUUUUGCUAGUUUCGAAACUUAACACCUCGACAGAUAAACUUAUAAGAUAAGAUGUGCUCAACCCGUAAAGCUAUUGCUUUGUCGAUAAAAACAAUGAAGCGAUACUAACGAGGGGUUACUGCUUCAUGGUGAAGCCAUGGGUUUUAGAGAAGUGUGUGCUUCAAACAAUGAGAAGCGCCACUUGCCUUUUCAUCUGUUACAAUUCUGCCACUUGCCUCAGCAUUUCUUCCAGGAACUACUAUAGGUAGCACAUCAAAAGGCUGCAGAGCGAGGGAACACAUUGAUCAAAGCCCAAAGGCUCAAAACCUUUUCGUGGUGGCUUAUUCUGGUGAACACAAACAUCCUCCACCCACUAACCGAAGCUGUCUAUCUGGGCGGAGGAUGGUUAUGUUCACCGAGAUAGGCCACCAAGCCGAAGCUGUCUGUCUGGGCGCUGCACCUGCCGUGCCAAAUCCAAGAUUCCAAAAGGAAAAAUAUUGUGUCCAGAGCAUUAAGCUUUAAUUCUUCGCAUCCAAUUGCUUUCGAUGUUCCAGUGCUACUCCAAUUAGCCCCAAAACGCCUGAAAUCCAGAGCGUGUCACCUAACAAGAAAAUAGAAAUGGUAGCUGAGGAGGAGAAAGUUGUUCUGAUUCCGAACAAAUUCAUGAGUGAUGAUAUUCUCAAGAGUGUACUUUUCUUUGUGUUAAAUGCAGUGAGUGAUUUUAUUGGAAUUAAAUUGAUCUGGAAAUUUUUCAUAACUGAAAAAUUUAUGGUCCGCGACAUUAACUGAUUUUGAGUUUGAUUUUAUGAUACGUGCCUUCUUCCUCUCAGGAAUCCUGUUGCCGUUUAACUGUAUCCAAACAAUCAUUUGAGGGUUGGAAUUUGGCAUGAAAAAUCUUGCUUUGUGUUCUAGAAGUUGGGAUAUGUGUGUUUAAAUUACUGUUUUAUUUUGAUGUUUCCAGAAGGGUGGGCGAUCAUGGCGAGCUUUAUAGACAUUUUAAUUGGUGCAACACAUUUGGUACUUUACAGAUCCACACAUCACUUUAAUAAAGUUACGUCAGAUUUGGACCCAGAUACCAAAUUCUUAAUGAACUUUGUCGUACGAAAGUUGUGUUGAUUAUUUCAUCUAUAUUUGGCAAACCAUAUUCAUCGGGUUUUCUCUGUGUUUUGCUAUGUGGUUUUGUUCAUCAGAUGGGCGCAACAGUGUACCAGAGCAUACAUGAAAUCUGCUGCAGGGUUUAGCAUAUCCAGCUUCGCAAGGGUGGGGAUUCGUCACAGGAUGUGGGGAACUGCCAACAAGUUGGCACAGCGGCUUCAGAGCAUAUCAGACCGUGAAGAAUUCAGAGGCAGCGGUUUUGAGGCAUGCGAUGAUGGCACAAAUCACUUCAAAAAUAUCAUCUGAUGAAGGUGCAGGUACUUUGGAGCGAGUCUCUGGUGAAGAAGAUAAACAUGAAACGAUAUCCAAGGUCAGAGAGGAGGUGGUGGCCUCAACUGGAGAUGGGUGGUUAAUCGGCAGAAGCGGGGCUGUAGUUUGCAGGCAUAUCUUCAAAAAUUGUAUUUGAUUUCCUCCGCGAUCAUAACAGUAGGCGCAAGUGGGACAUUCUCUCCAAUGGGGGUGAUAUUCAUGAAGUUGCGCAUAUUGCUAGUGGCAGGGAAACAAGCAACCGUGUCUCCUUAUUGAGAGUCAACGUAAGGACAUUUAUGUCUUCAAUUUUACAUUCUUUCCUCAUAUUUUGAUUUAUGACACUUAAUGUUUUAUUAAUGUGUCGAAGAAAUAACGUGUGAAUUCCAAGAAUUGUUUCAUGAAUUGCAGAGUCUAAACUCAGCUCAAAGCGAGAUGUUGAUGUUUAGAGAAAGUAGCACUGAUCCAACAGGGUCCUUAGUUGUUAAUGCACCUAUUGAUGUUCCUGCUAUAAACAUUGUAUUUAUUGGUGGAAAUCCAGACUAUGUCCCGCUUUUGCCUUCUGAGUUAGCUGUUUAGUUUUAUAAACUAGGUUUCACGAACUCCACGAGGAUCAUUAAUCUCAUCAUGGUUUCAAAUGGACAAACAUUUCUCGUGUUUUUAAUUUGUGAAGUUAUGAUUUCAUAUAUAGACGCCAAGACCCCAUGCAAUAAACCUUCCAAAACAAGAUUGAGAUUCUACUGAUUCAGAACUGAGAACUGCUACACGGGUAUUAUGGCACAAAGCACUACAAAAUAUCAUCUGAUGAAGGUACUUGGAGCGAGUCUGUGGUGAAGAAGAUAAAUCUGAGAAUAUCAAUAUCCAGGGUCAGAGAGGAGCAAUUACAUCAACUGGAAAUGGGUGGCUAUCUAUUUGCAGGAUCAUGCUAUUUUUCUCUGUAUAAUUCCAAUUCUAGUCCGAAGGGACGGGAAUAGAACCUAACUGAUGUAUUAGAUCAUUUGACAAGCAGCACAAAGAUCAGAUCGUUCACUGCUCUCUGACUGUAAUAACAUUUCCAUGUGUAGACUGUAUCUUAUGUUGAUAUAUCAACAUUGUGAUAUGAAAAUUAAACGCUGGAAUUGUUAAUA
Molecule: long non-coding RNA, 4217 nt
Organism: Lycium barbarum (goji berry)
Lineage: Eukaryota; Viridiplantae; Streptophyta; Magnoliopsida; Solanales; Solanaceae
Exons: 3
Source: RefSeq, a predicted model, not a curated record